AAACUGCGAUAAGUAGUGUGAAUUGCAUUUAGUGAAUCAUCGAAUCUUUGAACGCACCCUGCACUCACUGGUAUUCCGGUGAGUACGCCUGUUUCAGUAUCAUUGAAAACACACAAUCAAAACAUUUUCUUUGGUUUGAUUGGCUUUGGGUCUAUCAAAAAGUUUGGCUUGUUUCUUACAAGCCAAGCGGCCUGAAAUAUAUUGUCUGGCUAAUUGCAUCGUUGAUGAUCGCUAUUAGACUUUGGCUUUUUUAAAUGAACUGGAGGUUGAUUAACCAGUUUUAGCUUUAGUAAAAUGGUAAUUGUAAAAAAAAUCUCGAUCUUGGCUAGGUGUUUAUAGCCGAAAAUUUUUUUUUGGCUAUAACCGAAACCAAUAUAAUCACAUUUAGUUAUCGAUCUGAAAUCAGGUGGGACUACCCGCUGAACUUAAGC
This 431-nucleotide unclassified non-coding RNA is filed under the name plant metagenome. Its description in RNAcentral is "partial contains 5.8S ribosomal RNA, internal transcribed spacer 2, and large subunit ribosomal RNA". The stretch from base 1 to 102 matches the Rfam family "5.8S ribosomal RNA", at positions 50 to 154 of the family's 154-position model. The record is from RNAcentral.